RNAcentral lists this ribosomal RNA (253 nucleotides) under uncultured bacterium. RNAcentral describes it as "partial 16S ribosomal RNA". It matches the Rfam family "Bacterial small subunit ribosomal RNA", at positions 524 to 776 of the family's 1533-position model. The record is from RNAcentral.
UACGUAGGGUGCGAGCGUUUGUCCGGAUUAUUGGGCGUAAAGAGCUCGUAGGCGGCUUGUCGCGUCGGAUGUGAAAGCCCGGGGCUUAACUCCGGGUCUGCAUUCGAUACGGGCAGGCUAGAGUUCGGUAGGGGAGAUCGGAAUUCCUGGUGUAGCGGUGAAAUGCGCAGAUAUCAGGAGGAACACCGGUGGCGAAGGCGGAUCUCUGGGCCGAUACUGACGCUGAGGAGCGAAAGCGUGGGGAGCGAACAAG